GAUGAACGCUGGCGGCGUGCCUAACACAUGCAAGUCGAACGGAGAUUACGGACGGAAGUUUUCGGAUGGAAGACUGUAAUUCUUAGUGGCGGACGGGUGAGUAACGCGUGGGCAACCUGCCCUAUACAGGGGGAUAGCAGCUGGAAACGGCUGGUAAGACCGCAUAAGUCGGCGAGACCGCAUGGUUUUGCCGGGAAAUGAGCAAUCAGGUAUAGGAUGGGCCCGCGUCCGAUUAGCCAGUUGGCAGGGUAAAAGCCUACCAAAGCAACGAUCGGUAGCCGGACUGAGAGGUCGGACGGCCACACUGGGACUGAGACACGGCCCAAACUCCUACGGGAGGCAGCAGUGGGGGAUAUUGCACAAUGGAGGAAACUCUGAUGCAGCGACGCCGCGUGAGUGAAGAAGUAUUUCGGUAUGUAAAGCUCUAUCAGCAGGGAAGAUGAUGACGGUACCUGACUAAGAAGCCCCGGCUAACUACGUG
This 481-nucleotide ribosomal RNA is filed under the name uncultured bacterium. RNAcentral's name for it is "partial 16S ribosomal RNA". It matches the Rfam family "Bacterial small subunit ribosomal RNA", at positions 28 to 507 of the family's 1533-position model. The record is from RNAcentral.